GAAGGCCCCACUGUCUUAAGGAAAUUCCCAGUGAAAUUGAAUUCGUAGUGAAGAUGCUACGUCCAAUUUGUUAGACGAAAAGACCCCGUUGAGCUUUACUGGGGCACUUACACGGCCCCGGCCUUCCCGUGUCCGGGAACCGGCCGAAUUUAAAUGGGUGGUUUAGACUAUGUGGCAGCCCCCCGCCGGGGCAGAUGAAACCCCACUCCCCCAUGUCAAAGGGGCUAACCCCCCCCUUGGGGGGGACAGUGUAAGUAGGACAGUUUGGUUGGGGCGACCGCCUUUUAAAGAGUAACGAAGGUGCGCUUAAGGUGCGCAAUUAAUGACUGAAGCCUGACUGCGAGGGGGACACCCCGAGCAGACACCCCUAAGCCCGCCCGAAGGGCGGCGGUGGGGUGGGCCAUAGUGACCCGUUAAUUUAGAGUGGAAUAGUUAACGAUCAACGAAUAAAAGUUACCACGGGGA
RNAcentral lists this ribosomal RNA (465 nucleotides) under Palythoa sp. 'Mada'. Its description in RNAcentral is "partial 16S ribosomal RNA". It matches the Rfam family "Bacterial large subunit ribosomal RNA", at positions 2006 to 2474 of the family's 2925-position model. The record is from RNAcentral. Lineage: Eukaryota; Metazoa; Cnidaria; Anthozoa; Zoantharia; Sphenopidae.